Molecule: ribosomal RNA, 389 nt
Filed under: Hyla chinensis (Chinese tree toad)
Lineage: Eukaryota; Metazoa; Chordata; Amphibia; Anura; Hylidae
Description: partial 12S ribosomal RNA
Rfam family: Bacterial small subunit ribosomal RNA
Source: RNAcentral
GCCCAGCCGUAAACCUUUAAUUACACCCGUAUCGCCAGGGAACUACGAGCUAAGCUUAAAACCCAAAGGACUUGACGGUACCCCACAUCCACCUAGAGGAGCCUGUCCUAUGAUCGAUAACCCCCGCUUAACCUCACCAUUUUUAGCAAUAUCAGCCUGUAUACCUCCGUCGUCAGCUUACCCCGUGAGCGCUAUCUAGUGAGCUCAAUGUCUUUACAUCAAUACGUCAGGUCAAGGUGCAGUAAAUGAAAUGGGAAGAGAUGGGCUACACUUUCUAACCUAGAACAUACGAAAGACUAUCUAUAAACCCUAGUCAGAAGGCGGAUUUAGUAGUAAAAAGAGACUAUAGAGCUCUUUUUAACUUGGCACUGGGGUGUGUACACACCGCC